This 92-nucleotide small nucleolar RNA is filed under the name Cyphellophora attinorum. RNAcentral's name for it is "Phialophora attae A. fumigatus snoRNA Afu_455". It matches the Rfam family "A. fumigatus snoRNA Afu_455". Lineage: Eukaryota; Fungi; Ascomycota; Eurotiomycetes; Chaetothyriales; Cyphellophoraceae. The record is from Rfam by way of RNAcentral.
CUCGAUGAUGAUACCGCGACACGCAAAGGCAUUCCUCGAACAUAAUCUACUAUGUUGAAUCUGUCGACUACAAGUUUCAGCCUUGUCUGAGC